RNAcentral lists this transfer RNA (72 nucleotides) under Schistosoma mansoni. Lineage: Eukaryota; Metazoa; Platyhelminthes; Trematoda; Strigeidida; Schistosomatidae. The record is from RNAcentral.
GAUUCAGUGGCCGAGUGGAUAACGCGAUGGUAUUUGAAGCGAAAGGUGCUGGGUUAGAGUCCCAGAGUAAAC